Gallus gallus (chicken) is the source of this 988-nucleotide long non-coding RNA. NCBI's taxonomy places the organism in Eukaryota, Metazoa, Chordata, Aves, Galliformes, Phasianidae. The record is from Ensembl.
CUGCUCUCACUGAGAUGAUCUACUGCUUCCUUUUUGUUUCCACAAGGCCUGAUGCACUGCUCACACUUCCCUUAGGUGUGGCUGCUGUUCCUCACUUUUCCCUAAGAAAGAUUGGAUGCCAUCAGUGCGGGAAACAGUACAAAUUUCUUUUAGGGGGAAGAUGGCAGCUUUUGAAUAUCAGCCUCAUCAGGAGAUGUGCUCAAUAUAGACUACACACUGCCAUGCUCGUGAUCCUUGGCCUAAUCUGUGAGCUGGGAAUGAAGACAGACUUUUUGCAGUCCCUUACCAUACAUUUGGCUCAUUCAAGAGGAAAUUUAUUUUAAAAACAGUUGAUUACCUGUCUGGAAUAAGUGAACUUCAGAGAAGGCCAAGGAAACAGAGCUGAAAUACACAUCUGUUCAAAUUACAGUGCCAUGAAGUUUGUGAAAUCAUGUUUUUGUUUUUGUUUUUCUUUUUCUUUUUUUCUGUAAAAAAUCCCCAAAGCUUUUUUCCUUUUACUGAAAGUAUAAUUUUUCUCUAGAACUUAAUUAAUUGGUAUUUAUGUUUCAUAAUGUUUUUUCUAUUACUAACAUUAUAGUCUGCUGCACAAUAUGCAUGUCAGGUGUUUCUUCAUUUUGUGGGCUUUCAAACAACUGCAGUGUGGCACUUGCUGUUUAACAAGAAAGAGCACAUAAUACCCAUUGCUAAUUCUUCAAAGCAGCAGUUGAAUUAACAUAAGCUUUAUGUGGGUGUUAUGUAUUCAUCUGCACAUUUUCUGCUGCUGCUUCUGAGUAUUGCAAUCUGCUACACAUGAAAGAACUGCUACACCUAUAUGGAGCCUUACAGAAGUCACAGAUGUCUUCAGGAGUCAAUCUGCAGUGGUGAAAGAAUUACAGAGUCACAGACCCUUAGGGGUUGUAAAGGACCUCUGGAGAUCAUGUAAUACAACCCCUCUGCUACAGCAGAUUCCCUAGAACAGGUUGCACCAUUAAGAAGACAGAAAGAACUG